This 468-nucleotide ribosomal RNA is filed under the name uncultured bacterium. RNAcentral's name for it is "partial 16S ribosomal RNA". It matches the Rfam family "Bacterial small subunit ribosomal RNA", at positions 28 to 507 of the family's 1533-position model. The record is from RNAcentral.
GACGAACGCUGGCGGCGUGCUUAACACAUGCAAGUCGAACGGAAAGGCCCUGCUUUUGUGGGGUGCUCGAGUGGCGAACGGGUGAGUAACACGUGAGUAACCUGCCCUUGACUUUGGGAUAACUUCAGGAAACUGGGGCUAAUACCGGAUAGGAGCUCCUGCUGCUUGGUGGGGGUUGGAAAGUUUCGGCGGUUGGGGAUGGACUCGCGGCUUAUCCGCUUGUUGGGGGGGUAGUGGCAUACCAAGGCUUUGACGGGUAGCCGGCCUGAGAGGGGGACCGGCCAAAUGAGGACGGAAAUACGGCCCAGACGCCAAUGGGAGGGAACAGAGGGGAGUAUUACACAGUGGGAUGAGCGCGAGCGCAACAACGCCGGGUGGGGAAAGACGGGAAUCGGGUUGUAAACCGCAUCCGCCUGUGACGAAACGAGAAUGACGGUAAGGGGUAAAUAAGCACCGGCUAACUACGUG